UGGUUCUGGCAUCGAUGAAGAACGCAGCGAAAUGCGAUAAGUAAUGCGAAUUGCAGAAUUCAGUGAGUCAUCGAAUCUUUGAACGCACAUUGCGCCCUUUAGUAUUCUGGAGGGCAUGCCUGUUCGAGCGUCAUUAUCACCCCUCAAGCCUGGCUUGCUGUUGGACCUCACGCCGGUACAAGGCGGGUCCCAAAGAUAAUGGCGGCGUCCGAUCGAGCCCCGGUGCAACGAGCUCUCACGAGCACGCACUGAGCGGGAAGCGUCUGGCGCGGUCUUGUUGAGAAACACCAUCUUUUCAAGGUUGACCUCGGAUCAGGUAGGAAUACCCGCUGA
This 333-nucleotide unclassified non-coding RNA is filed under the name uncultured fungus. RNAcentral describes it as "partial contains 5.8S ribosomal RNA and internal transcribed spacer 2". The stretch from base 1 to 133 matches the Rfam family "5.8S ribosomal RNA", at positions 22 to 154 of the family's 154-position model. The record is from RNAcentral. Lineage: Eukaryota; Fungi.